This is a long non-coding RNA of Chelonia mydas (Green sea turtle), 820 nucleotides long. RefSeq lists it as uncharacterized. The transcript is spliced from 3 exons. The record is from RefSeq and is a predicted model, not a curated record. NCBI's taxonomy places the organism in Eukaryota, Metazoa, Chordata, Testudines, Cheloniidae.
GGUUUCAGACACAUCACUCAUCUGCUUCGCGGAUCCCGUCAUACCCCUCUGCCUGGGACACUCACUGAAGGCAAUGCGUGCGCCGAUCGCGCGUUAUGUGGUCAGGACCAUUGUGGGUUCCAGGCCAGUGUGUGCGACCGGCACUGAAACAGCAUGGCGUGGCACCAGGGGCUGUUGAACCCCAUACCGGAGUUUCAGCUGACCUUGGAGGAGAAUGCGGUGCCUCCCAGGUCGACAAUGACAGGACUGAGACAGAGGAGACGUAGCGUCCCAAGCCAGCCCGUGACAUGGGGAGCAGUGAAAGCAUUGGUCGCCGCGGCUCAACGAAGACUGGCAGCAAACCAACAGCCAGAGACUCUUGAGACUUUGUUUGUUUGUGGCAAUUCUCACCCAAAUUACUGCUAAUUCUGUAUUAAUUGUAUGCCUUUUGUGCCUGCUAUUUCCUGGAGGGGUUGACUCGGGAGUGCCUUCUUCAUUACGGGCCCGAAUGACAUAUAACCUAUUGGAAAGAUUGGCUUCAAUAGCAAAUGUUACCCACUUUUGUUUGUUUGAUUUUGUAGCAGCUGAAGAAGUGUUAGGUACAUGCCUUAUUCCAGUAUGUCAUCACCCUGAGGAAAUGGGGAAUGAGAUGAUGCUCGCUGCUUACUCGAACCUCUCUUCCCAGUACUUUAGCAUGGCUAAUUGGGGCCUGGCCAAUCACACUUUACCUUCUUAAGCUUAUUUUUUGCUGUUGUUGUGUGCAAUGUAUUUCCUUUUUGUUAAGGCUUUGUUGAGACCCGCCCUGGCAGGCUCCACGAGUUAUGACCUUGUCUGUCCGGGA